UACACACCUUGGGCGUGUUUCUGGUCGAACAAAAGCAGGAUUAACAAGGGUUACCCUUGUUCUUGCAAAACUCAUCAAUUGACAAGAAAUUCAGUGUUAAUCGGUUGCAUGUUACCGGAUUUCGAUUAACCUAACAUCCUCUAUAAGGUGGCGUGAAGGAAGAAGGUUCAAGUACUAAGAAAUCAGAAGGCUCACAAGAUCGAGGUAAAUCCUCAAUUUAGGCGACUUGGCGAAUUGGAGCGAGCAUGUGUUCAUAAUAUGUCAUACCAAGCGCUUCCGCUAGUUUGUACUAAUGUUUUGGGUCAAAUACUUGUUAAUUUUGCAUAAUCUUGUUAGUAGUCAUACUUUUCAAAACUUGAUGUUAUGGGUUUUAGUCGUGUCUAGUCGAACGGGUCAUGAACAUUAUCGUUUGGAAGUUGUACAAAACAGGGAUACGCUCGUCUUACGGACGGGUCAUGCCCAAAUUUUGUUAAAAGUAUGUAUUAGUGUUGCUAGUUUUA
Long non-coding RNA from Helianthus annuus (common sunflower), 500 nucleotides. RefSeq lists it as uncharacterized. The transcript is spliced from 3 exons. The record is from RefSeq and is a predicted model, not a curated record. NCBI's taxonomy places the organism in Eukaryota, Viridiplantae, Streptophyta, Magnoliopsida, Asterales, Asteraceae.